GACCAGAAAGAAUGUAAAUGCUAGUAAAGCUGCCUGGGUUCAAAUCCCAGCUCUGCCAUGUGCUCACUGUGUGAAUUUGGGAGAGUUAUCUUCCCACCUUUGAAAAAUGGAGAUGACAAGAAUAGUAUCUACCUUCCACGGGUUCUGGUGGAAACUGAAAAAGUUCAUAUGCAGAAAGUGCCUAAAAAUAGGGUCUGGCACAACCAGGAAAGCUGUCAGUGUUCUCAGGAUUCCACUUUCCAGCUGCCAUCUGUACCUAAGUGGGUUGGCUUCACAGUUUUCGUAGGACUCUGGACAAAGGAACAAUGUCUUCAGCAAAUUCUUCCUGUAUUCGGUGGGAAAGGAGGGCACCGGGCGAGUUGAGUUUCUGGAAGCCUGUGACUUGGUGCCUGACAUCCUCAGCAGCCCCUGUGGCCUCAGAGGAAGGACAGAGUCUGAGAGGAACAAGCCUCCAAAAGACCCGCCUUUAGAAACCCAGGAGUUUCAGGCUGUAGUUUCCUUGCCCAGGCAUCAGGGCCUGGGGAGCUGCCAGGGCCCUUUCAACUCUCCCGCCCUGCUGAGCCCGGAUAGGAUUGUGUAAGAGCCGCCCUCCACACGCCUGCUCUCUCGUGCAGCACGCCUGGGCCUGCCUGUCCUCCCUGGAAGCCGGGCCAGAAGGCCCUGGUACCCACACAGGUCUGGCCACCCAAAGGCUCCUGCCUGGUCGGGAGAGGGAGGGGGACAUCUCUUGAAGUUCAGGGCCUGCUCCCGAACUGAUGCCAAACUGGAGUUCUGGGGAGGCUUGGAGCGAGGUGGUGUGUGCUGUGUACAAGACCCCGGCCACCCCCUGAGCACACAUGCCCUGGUGUCUCCAGGGAUCUUCUGCCGGCCUGUACCACUUCCCAGGCCUUCUUCCCUGCAUCCUUGUGUGUGUGUGUGAGCAUGAGCGUGCCUCCCUGCAUAGCCUGAGUAGGUGUUUUGCGUAAGCUCUGGGUACCGUUUGUGAGUGCGUGGGCCUAGCAUCCCGGUGGCAGGUGAAGGUGCUGGCUGGGGGAGAACAUGUGUGGGCACACACCCUGUUGCCCUGGCUGUGAAAGCAGGGCGUCUGGAGAAAGGUUAAUCAGGUAUGUGACCGCGAGGAGGCAUUUAAGGGGGCAUCUCCGCACCUGGCCCCACGUGGAAACCCAGCAAGACAGGAACCAAGAGCGGGCCCCAGCUGAGGACCUCGGUGGUCUGGGCCAUGUCAGAAAUCUCAACCUGAUUAAAGUUGAAGCUGGGAGAGGCUGGCUCUUUGACAUCUUGAAGGUUCCUCUUCCCUCUUCUCUGUUAAACUCAAAUGGGUCUUUUCUAUCUUUCCGUCACCCCUGGCAGAGGAGCCACCCCCAGUCUCGAAUAGAGGGGAGAAGAUAUGAGGGAUGGAGGACACACCACCAGCUCCCCCUCUCACAGCCAGGGGGAGUGCAGACAAGGUGAUCGAUGGGAUGGUUCCGGGCUCAGAACACUCAGUGGUCCAACCAGGAAACGCCUGGACAUGCUGGAUGGCUGGUUACCCUGGUCUGGUCCUUACUCAUGUGCUGAUAACUAUGGCGUUCCUGCAGAAAUCUGAGACACACGAAGAAUGGACCUGCAGCGCUCAGUCCGAGAACAGCUUCCAGCUCCAACGCUGCUUCUCUGCGGUGCAGAAGCCAGGGUGGCUCCGGGAGCAUUUGGUUUGCACAUGACAGAGCAGAAGGAUGGUGAAGCUUAGCAGAGAUCCCAGAGCAAGCGGGUGACACCGGGGUCGGGCCUCCUGCACCCUCCUGGGAGGGCUCGCAGCUGCCCGGUGCAGCGCAUAGGAAUCUGUUGGUUUCCAGAUCCAGGUGGGAGUGAAGGGAGGAGAUUUCAGCCUCCUUUAAAGCAAUGUUCUCUCCUCCAAGAGGUUUUCUGAGGGUUUCACAGGGGGAAAAAAGUGAGGCUUGGACAAUUCCAUAGGAAAGUCUCAAAACAGGAUGAAAGGUUACUCCAGAGAGCAAACCUCCCCAAGGAAGGGAAAGAAGAGCACCCUUUCUAAGGAAGUGCAAGCUCCAUGGGCAUUUAGAGCUUGAGAGGAAAGUCAGAGCUCACACACCUGAACCAAGAGCCCCAGGCCUCCUCAGCUGCAGCACAUUCUUAACUUACAGUGUUGUGGCCAGGCCUACAAUUGUGACUGUGUACUGGCUCUUGGCAGCUUUCUCCAAGGCAGGCCACUCUCUCUUACCACUUAGGUGCUUCAAGAGUGUUACUUUGAAAGCAUGGGCUAGACACCUCGCCAUCCACCUGGCUGCUGGCAAGGCCUCGCUUUUCCCACUAGCUAAGUGGAGGGAAGAAUAUAGUCCAGGUUCCAGGGAGGGAGCAGCACGGCUAUUGGUACCCCCUCCUUCCUGAGUCGUUCACGGGGCCACAUCAAAGUCCUUGGCCAAGACACAGUUUUGAGACCCCCCCCCCCAGGCCCCCCACGAAGUACCUAUCACUGAGGGAGUAACCAGUGUCCUCUUGGGCCGUAUGUGAUAGGUUGGCGGUUUCCUCAAUGAAGACUUUUAGGAUGAUAAAAUGUAUUCCAGAAUGUUCUUCAAAGUCACCACUAUAAUUAAACAAUGGGCAGCCAUGAUGGAAGUAAAAUGUUUUCUGAAUACCUAUAGAAACAGAUAAAAGGGAAGUCAGAAAUUAAUGAUUAAUGUUAAUAAGUGAGCCUGCAUGAAACGAGUGUCGAGCGUUAGUCGCUCAGUUGUGUCCGACUCUUUGUGACCCUAUGAAUUGUAGGCCACCAGUCUCCUCUGUCCAUGGGAUUCUCCAGGCGAGAACACUGGAGUGAGUUGCCGUGCCCUCUUCAGGGGAUACUCCUGACCCAGGGGUUGAACCCACAUCUCUUGCAUUGGCAGUGGAAUUGGGCCCGACGUUCCACUGAGCCAGCCCUGAUCCUGGAUGUGAACACCUGCUCCAUGCCAGAGGAAAAGAGAAAACCUGAACAUGCUUCAGACAGUUAUGGCAAGCGCCUCUGCAGAUGGAGAGAAUGGAAAAGAGCCUCCUUUUACAGUCCUAGGUGGCGUGUUACCCACACUCACGGAGGUCAACUCUGCGUUAUUCACUGGAAGGACUGAUGCUGAAGCCGAAGCCCCAAUACUUUGGCCACCUGAUGCAAAGAACUGACUCACUGGAAAAGGCCCUGAUGCUGGGAAAGACUGAAGGCAGCAGGAGAAGGGGACAACAGAAGACAAGAUGGAUGGUAUCACCGACUCAAUGGACAUGAGUUUGAGCAAACUCUGGGAGAUCAUAAUGGACAGGGGAGCCUGGCGUGCUGCAGUCCAUGGGGCUACAAAGAGUCAGACAUGGCUGAGCAACUAAACAACAAUACAAGAGAGGAAACAGAGGCAGAGUGGGUGGAUGUUGCCCAGGGUACCUGUCAGAGCUGGGUUUUAAAACCAGAUGUAGCUCCUGCUUUCAAAGGGAAAAGCUGCUGGUCACAAGCAAUCCUGCCCCCACCAGCCUGUGCCCACCCCUGCCUCCUCCAAAGGCACGGAUAGGCUCUUGGACUUUCCUCUGUCAAUUGGUAAGGAGUUUAUUUUCACCAGCUGAGGGGCUCAUCCUCCAGUAGAUAGAUGCCUUUCAGGUUGCAGAAGGAGCAGAGAAUCCUCCCCAGAUGGGUGAUUUCUGGUUGCAAGGCAGGAUUCCUUCUGGUGGGAUAUAAUGACCCGGGGAGAACAGCAUUUUGUAACUGUUUGUGGCCAAGGACUCACCAGUAAGUUAGCCUACUGAAAAAUAAAUACGCCCGGGCUGUUUCAUUGAGCUUUUUCGUGACAUCAGUAGACAGUUGGCAACAAUGCCUUGAACAUUUCUCCAGGCUACCAUUGAUCGUGGCCUUGCUCUGGGCUCUGGAAGCCCAACAUUGCACAAUGUUCCUUUAUAGUGACCCACAGGACAAAUUCCUUUCAGGCCCCAACACCAGCAGGGCAGUGUAGCCUGGUGGUUAGAAGCACAAACUCCAGGUCCCUCUCCUGUCCUCUUGUUGGGGGUGGUGGCAGGAGCCCAUCAGAGCAGGGUUCCUUGCCUGCCUCUGUGGCUUAGCAUGUGAGUCCUUGGGCAAGGUGUAACCUCCAUGAGCUUCAGUUUUCUCACCUGUAAAAUGGGAAUAAAUAACACCCUCCUGAGACGUCUCCUGGGGAAUUCCCUGGUGGGCCGGUAGUUAGGACUCUGCAC
Molecule: long non-coding RNA, 4191 nt
Organism: Dama dama (fallow deer)
Lineage: Eukaryota; Metazoa; Chordata; Mammalia; Artiodactyla; Cervidae
Exons: 3
Source: RefSeq, a predicted model, not a curated record